RNAcentral lists this ribosomal RNA (253 nucleotides) under uncultured bacterium. RNAcentral describes it as "partial 16S ribosomal RNA". It matches the Rfam family "Bacterial small subunit ribosomal RNA", at positions 524 to 776 of the family's 1533-position model. The record is from RNAcentral.
UACGAAGGGGGCUAGCGUUGUUCGGAAUUACUAGGCGUAAAGCGCACGUAGGCGGACUAUUAAGUCAGGGGUGAAAUCCCGGGGCUCAACCCCGGAACUGCCUUUGAUACUGCUAGUCUCGAGUCCGGAAGAGGUGAGUGGAAUUCCGAGUGUAGAGGUGAAAUUCGUAGAUAUUCGGAGGAACACCAGUGGCGAAGGCGGCUCACUGGUCCGGUACUGACGCUGAGGUGCGAAAGCGUGGGGAGCAAACAGG